Molecule: ribosomal RNA, 253 nt
Filed under: uncultured bacterium
Lineage: Bacteria
Description: partial 16S ribosomal RNA
Rfam family: Bacterial small subunit ribosomal RNA
Source: RNAcentral
UACGAAGGGGGCUAGCGUUGUUCGGAAUUACUGGGCGUAAAGCGCACGUAGGCGGACUAUUAAGUCAGGGGUGAAAUCCCGGGGCUCAACCCCGGAACUGCCUUUGAUACUGGUAGUCUCGAGUCCGGAAGAGGUGAGCGGAAUUCCGAGUGUAGAGGUGAAAUUCGUAGAUAUUCGGAGGAACACCAGUGGCGAAGGCGGCUCACUGGUCCGGUACUGACGCUGAGGUGCGAAAGCGUGGGGAGCAAACAGG